RNAcentral lists this ribosomal RNA (463 nucleotides) under uncultured bacterium. RNAcentral describes it as "partial 16S ribosomal RNA". It matches the Rfam family "Bacterial small subunit ribosomal RNA", at positions 28 to 507 of the family's 1533-position model. The record is from RNAcentral.
GACGAACGCUGGCGGCGUGCUUAACACAUGCAAGUCGAGCGGUAAGGCCCUUCGGGGUCCACGAGCGGCGAACGGGUGAGUAACACGUGAGUAAUCUGCCCAUCACUUCGGGAUAACUCCGGGAAACCGGUGCUAAUACCGAAUAUGACCACUUCAGGCAUCUGAUGGUGGUGGAAAGUUCCGGCGGUGAUGGAUGAGCUCGCGGCCUAUCAGCUUGUUGGUGGGGUAGUGGCCUACCAAGGCUUCGACGGGUAGCCGGCCUGAGAGGGUGACCGGCCACACUGGGACUGAGACACGGCCCAGACUCCUACGGGAGGCAGCAGUGGGGAAUAUUGGACAAUGGGCGAAAGCCUGAUCCAGCAACGCCGCGUGAGGGAUGACGGCCUUCGGGUUGUAAACCUCUUUCAGCAGGGACGAAGCGAAAGUGACGGUACCUGCAGAAGAAGCACCGGCCAACUACGUG